UAUUUCCAAAUAAAGUGAUAUUUACAGUUACUGGGAGUUAGAACUUGAACAUAUCUUUUGGGGAAUACAAUUCAACCCACAACAGAUGGGGAUAUAGCUAUGGAGGGUAAGGAAGAUGGGGCGUACCAGGGAUGGAGCACUGGGAUGUCAGAGAAUAGCAACCUAUGAAGACUCGAAGGAUGUAGGGGAGUGAGCCAUUUUGGGGAAUGGGAACAAGAAGUUCAAGGCCCCAAGGCAGGACCUUGCUCGGUGUAUUUGAGAUCAAGAAGGCCAGUGUGGCUGAAGUAAAAGGAGAUGGCAUCACAGAGGUAGCAUGACCAGGUUCCAUGGAGCCAUCAUAAUGGGAUUUGGGCUUUUCUCUUGAGAGGGUUUUGAGUAGAGAAGUGACAUGAGCUCACCUACUAGGCAGUUGUCCAUCUACAGGGCAUCUUCGUGCAAACUGAAAAGGAUGCCCUUUCUUCCAAAUGGCUGCAACCUUGAAGCAAAGCACACAGCUCAGUGAGUGGAGCAGGGCUGGAUUUCAUCCCUUGCUCAGCUGGGUGCUCCAGGGAGGAGAUUAUUACAGUACAGUAGGUGGAAUAUGCGUUUCAAGUAUCCCCUGGAAUUACAUGAGGCUUGGUUCCUUGUUAAAGGAAAGCAGGUUACGAAGAUAUGGGGUUGGAGACAGGAUGCCUUCUCAGUAGCCAUGAAGUUGACCCUUGCUUGACUCAUAAAGAAAACUGGACCUGAGACUGCUUGCUUAAUCUCAAAGCCCUUGGGCUUCAUUCCCUGUUUGUCUGCUCAGAUGUCCCCUCUUACACCAAAUUUCUACCAAGCUACCUGUUCCUUGGAGAUUCUGCUCAGAGGCCUGGGUCUCUCACCACAGAUGUCAAUAUGUGUUGGGCUGGUAGCCACCUCUCCUGGGUUCUGCCGCUAAACGUACUCCAGGUGGCCCAGGCUUCUCAAAUAUCACAGUUGAGUAAGUCUGGAUAGUAUGAUGCAAUAAUCGCUGCCUCAUGUUUGCUCCCUGUGGGGUGUUCUGUGGUUUAUGUGGCAUUGUCCUCCCUGCCUCUGCCACAGAGCCUGGGUUUGAAUAAUUGCCUGUAUCCUGGCUGGCACUGGGCUUAAUGAUUGCCUCUUUAGUCCCUUCAUGCAUGUCUACAUCCUUUCCUUUCAGCAAACAGGUGAAUGUCUCUAGAGUGCAUCUAGGACCAUCUUUCAGCAUCCUAUUGUUGGAAAUGAGGUUGGGGACACCUGCUGAGACACAAAAGCAGCUGAAGUCAACCCAACCAUGGAUCGUGGCAGCUCAUGCUCACAAGAGCAUUUGGGGUAGGAAUUGAGGCUCCAUUCCGUGCAUUGGGAAGGAUUGAGGUAGAGGCCCCUCACACAUGGACCUACAGGAGAAGGAUAAGAGGAGCUCCAUUUUGCCUUCAAGGCUCAAGUCUACCUGGUGGACGCCACUCUCCAAUGGGUGAUUUAAUUAAAGGGAUCACACACACCAUUUUGGUGAGGGAGAUGUGCUCUCUCCAGCAAAGAGGCAACAGAACUUCUCUGGUGCAAGGGCAGGGUCAUAUCCAUCCAUACUCCUACUCAAUUACAAGAACAAACACAAUGAUCGUGCUGCCAGCAGUCAUAAUAAUAAAUAGCAAACCUGUAGUGCUAACUCUGUGCCCAACCCUUCUGAAGCGC
Long non-coding RNA from Equus asinus (donkey), 1668 nucleotides. Lineage: Eukaryota; Metazoa; Chordata; Mammalia; Perissodactyla; Equidae. The record is from Ensembl.